UGGAAGCCAUUGCUCAUUUCCUGGUGGUU
Molecule: non-coding RNA, 29 nt
Filed under: Mus musculus (house mouse)
Lineage: Eukaryota; Metazoa; Chordata; Mammalia; Rodentia; Muridae
Source: RNAcentral